Molecule: long non-coding RNA, 308 nt
Organism: Morone saxatilis (striped sea-bass)
Lineage: Eukaryota; Metazoa; Chordata; Actinopteri; Moronidae
Exons: 3
Source: RefSeq, a predicted model, not a curated record
CCCCACUGUCCAUUUUCACACAGAGGAGCAGAAACAACUGAACUAAGAACAUUUCCCACUGCUCAGCAUUUGACUCUAACUACUCAGGGAUGGAACGAGGACUGAUCCUGUUGGUGGCGGCACUGAUGGUCUAUGUGGCACCAGGUGUCCAAGGAACGUCUCAUUUGUCAUUUGCCAAUAAUACAGAGGUGAACAUCAGUCGGACUGGUUGUGGAGUCACUAAACUGUGUGUGGAGACCCCAGAUAACUGUGAUCCUAGUGGAAACAAAUGUCUGGUUUGUCGUCUGUGUCGCUAAAACAACAGCUCA